This 426-nucleotide ribosomal RNA is filed under the name uncultured eukaryote. RNAcentral describes it as "bacterial SSU rRNA". It matches the Rfam family "Eukaryotic small subunit ribosomal RNA", at positions 592 to 1018 of the family's 1831-position model. The record is from RNAcentral.
CAAUAGCGUAUAUUAAUGUUGUUGCAGUUAAAAAGCUCGUAGUUGGAUUUCUAGCGAGAGCGGCCGGUCCGCCCCUCACGGGGUGUGUUACUGCGUUGCCUCUGGCUAUCCUUGCGGAGAGGUCGUUGCGCAUUAAGUUGUGCGGCGGCGGAUCCGCAUCGUUUACUGUGAAAAAUUAGAGUGUUUAAAGCAGGCGUUUGCUGUGAAUACAUUAGCAUGGAAUAAUAAGAUAGGACUUUGGUUCUAUUUUGUUGGUUUCUAGGACCGAAGUAAUGAUUAAUAGGGACAGUUGGGGGCAUUUUUAUUCCAUUGUCAGAGGUGAAAUUCUUGGAUUAACGGAAGAAAAACUACUGCGAAAGCAUCUGCCAAGGAUGUUUUCAUUGAUCAAGAACGAAAGUUAGGGGAUCGAAGACGAUCAGAUACCAU